AUGCGUGCCGCAGGGGAUGCCGGGAGCGCGCAGUGGCGGCAGCGGCGGCGACGGCAGUAAAAGCGGCGGCUCCAGCGCGGACGCGAGCGGGGCGGUGACCGUGUGGGAAGUGGUCUCGCUCUUGGGAAAACUACUAGGCACCGUCGCCGCACUGAAGGUGAUUCUGUACCUGCUCCGGGUGUGCUUCGCGAUGGCCUGGAAAUCCGGCGGCGCCAGCCACUCGGAGCUAAUCCACAACCUCCGCAAAAAUGGAAUCAUAAAGACAGAUAAAGUAUUUGAAGUGAUGCUGGCUACAGACCGCUCCCACUAUGCAAAGUGUAAUCCUUAUAUGGAUUCUCCACAAUCAAUAGGUUUCCAAGCAACAAUCAGUGCUCCACAUAUGCAUGCGUAUGCACUAGAACUUCUAUUUGAUCAAUUGCAUGAAGGAGCUAAAGCUCUUGAUGUAGGAUCUGGAAGUGGAAUCCUUACUGCAUGUUUUGCACGUAUGGUUGGAUGUAGUGGAAAAGUCAUAGGAAUUGAUCACAUUAAGGAACUAGUAGAUGAUUCAAUAAAUAAUGUCAGAAAGGAUGAUCCAACACUUUUGUCUUCAGGGAGAGUACAGUUGGUUGUGGGAGAUGGAAGAAGGGGAUAUCCUGAAGAAGCCCCUUAUGAUGCUAUUCAUGUGGGAGCUGCAGCCCCAGUUGUGCCCCAGGCACUAAUAGACCAGUUAAAGCCUGGUGGAAGAUUGAUAUUGCCAGUUGGACCUGCAGGUGGAAACCAGAUGUUGGAGCAGUACGAUAAGCUACAAGACGGCAGCAUCAAAAUGAAGCCUCUGAUGGGGGUGAUAUACGUGCCUUUAACAGAUAAAGAAAAGCAGUGGUCCAGUUGCUGGCACAGUGCUGCACCUGGCUGAGCGAGUGGUUUCUUUUGGAGCUGAUAAAACUGCCUUAUGAAAUCAGCUGACAGGGAUGAGCUGUAAAAGCAACAUCAGCUUGACCAGUCUAUAAUAUUGCAGUGGAUUGCUCAUCUUGGUCCUUAAAGCUCUUUGAAAACCAACAGCAUCACAGCUUGUUUUGGACUUUGUUACACUAUUAUUUUCAGCAUGAAAAUGUGUGGUUUUGUAAGGUUUUCUAAUACUUCAGAGAGGCACAGAACCAAAUUGGUGGAGGAAGGAUGCAAAGUAUCCUAAAGUGUAUGAUCACUUUUACAUGCCCACAUUUUACUUUAAAAUAUUAAAAGAAGGGGUUCUGCAAAAUUGAAACAAUAGUUUAUGAAUUGAUUUUGAGGAGUGAUUUUUCUUUUCUUGGAUAUUUAAUUCUUCCAAUGUUAAUUUACCAGGUCUUUUGUGCAUCAGAUAACACCACCAUUUACAAGUUAAGACUCUUGGUAUUUGGUUAUCUGUUAGAUACUACUAAGAAUAUAGAGAUGAGCUUUCUUUUUAAAGCUUUUGAUGUGGUGUCAUAGAAUAGCAUGUUGUAGAUACAAUCAGCUGCUUUGUUACCUUAAAAGUAGGUAUUUGUAAAUAUUGAAACUUAAAAUGGCAGUUGAUGUCCAGUAAACAGAUGUUCAGAUUGGACAUAACUGACAUAGUUCUUUCUUUUCUCUAAAAAUGAUAGGAGACUUGUAGCUCACUAUUAUUUUUUCUGUUUCUAGUUUGCUGCUGAUAAUGUAUAUGAAUCUAACCUGCUGUGUAAGCUGUGUGGUAGUGACUGCACAGUUUAUGCAGUACUGCUUUGCCAAAUAAAGUUAAAAGCAAAAGAA
Molecule: RNA transcript, 1740 nt
Organism: Chinchilla lanigera (long-tailed chinchilla)
Lineage: Eukaryota; Metazoa; Chordata; Mammalia; Rodentia; Chinchillidae
Gene: Pcmt1
Gene name: protein-L-isoaspartate (D-aspartate) O-methyltransferase
Exons: 9
Source: RefSeq, a predicted model, not a curated record